Molecule: ribosomal RNA, 117 nt
Filed under: Oscillospiraceae bacterium
Lineage: Bacteria; Bacillati; Bacillota; Clostridia; Eubacteriales; Oscillospiraceae
Source: RNAcentral
GUUGGUGUCGAUUACGGUGAGGGUACACCCGUUCCCAUCCCGAACACGGAAGUUAAGCUCAUUUGUGCCGACAAUACUUGGCUGGAGACGGCCCGGGAAGAUAGGUAGACGCCAACG